RNAcentral lists this ribosomal RNA (299 nucleotides) under uncultured Helicobacter sp. RNAcentral describes it as "partial 16S ribosomal RNA". It matches the Rfam family "Bacterial small subunit ribosomal RNA", at positions 497 to 795 of the family's 1533-position model. The record is from RNAcentral. Lineage: Bacteria; Pseudomonadati; Campylobacterota; Epsilonproteobacteria; Campylobacterales; Helicobacteraceae.
GCAAGCCGGUGCCAGCAGGCGAUGUAAGACGUAUGUAGCAAGCGUUAGCCGGAAGUAUUGGGCUUAAAGGGCAUCUAGGAGGUUAAUCAAGUCGAAGGUGAAAACUUGUGGCUCAACCAUAAGCUUGCCGACGAAACUGAUUAACUAGAGUACUGGAGAGGUGGACGGAACUACACGAGUAGAGGUGAAAUUCGGAGAUAUGUGGAGGAAUACCGAUGGCGAAGGCAGCCCCCUGGGAUAAUACUGACGCUCAGACACGAAAGCGUGGGGAGCAAACAGGAUUAGAUACCCGAGUAGUC